AGGCGUCGGGGGCAGCACUGGUGCUCCGCCGGCGCCGCCUGAAGUGGACAUCGGUGGGGAAGGGCUCACCGAACUCAUUCACUCGGGCAGCUUGAAGAAGUGGACCAGCAAUUGAAGAAUCCCGUGUGGCACUUCUUAUAGCAGUUGUUUUCUUCUGCAUUUCUCAGAUAAGAGGCAAUUCAAGCAACUUUUGUUCAGGAUUAGAUUUGUGUUGUGCACUUUUCAGGCACCCUGAGGGAAAAGGAAGAUUAUAUCCUUAUCUGAGUUUGUUUUACAGUGUGAAAGGUCUCUGUAAAAAUUUAAGACAUCCUUUAGAGCUAAAUGUAAUUAAGCGUUGUCUUCUACCCCUUCCUCAAAUCAAAAACCCCAGGCUUGAUUUAAAAGGCUUUUAAACCUUUUAAGCAUAUAAGCAAGGCAAAAGAGAAGUCUGGAAGUUCAAUUUGCACUUCCAUAGAAGAUUUCAAAGUUCUUUACAUUCUUCGCUCAGCUUUGGGACAAGGCACAGAAAUGCUGGUAUUUUCUGUAGAAAGGGAAAAUUUUAAAAUAAAAAUCAAUUCAGAAUCCAGUUCUGGGCAAAAUGGCA
Long non-coding RNA from Pseudopodoces humilis (Tibetan ground-tit), 583 nucleotides. RefSeq lists it as uncharacterized. The record is from RefSeq and is a predicted model, not a curated record. Lineage: Eukaryota; Metazoa; Chordata; Aves; Passeriformes; Paridae.